UUAUGAUUACAAUUGUUACAGAUGUUGAAUUAGGUUACUUAUAAAAUGAUAUUAUAUGUGUAUAAAGUUUACCGUUAGAUGUUAAAAUAAUUUUUGUCAGUAUGGAAAUUUACAUAUUCAUGUGACGUAUACAAUAUAAACAAUUAAGAAUGAAGGCGGUUUAAGAAUAUUAUUUUAUAUCUUUGUUUGGCUGACAUAACACAAAAAGAAUGUUAUCUUUUAUAAAGACCUGUUAUACUCUGGUUACAGUUGUUAAUAGAUACCAUUGAGAUGAUUUAAUCAUUUUUCCUAGUAUGUUUGUAUAGAAUCUAUAGUUUGUGAAACCAUUCCAUUAUGAUGGAAGCGCAAACAGAUGUUUCUGUUUUGCGAUCCCCAGUCAAUUUGAGACAUAUGAAUACGGGCAAUGUUUUUUAUACACCUUUAACUUCGUUUGCUGAAAUGUGGUAUCAGAUAUUUUUAUGGGCUCUAUUUUCUUCCAUUUUUGUUCAUACCAUAGCUGGUGCAAUUUGUUUUGCUACAUUAAGGCAACACAAAUAUGGAAAAUUCUUCCCAUUGCUGAUUAUAAUAAUGGGUAUAUUAUUACCAUUAACAUCAGGAGUUCUUAGCUCUGCUGCUGUUGCUUUUGUAUACAGAGCCUCUCGAUAUCCACUGCCACCAUUGUACGCAUUACUUUGGGGUAUCGGACAGACUGUUGUAGCGGGAUGUGUUGGAUUUACCAGAAUAUUAGCUACUUUAUAACAUGAAACUGUUUGAGAAUGAAUGGUGCACGAGGUGUAUUGUUACUCAGAAAUAUGGUAGAAGGGGACUGAUAUCAAUAAAUGAUCCAGUGGCAACAGCUUCUUCAAUAUUUGCGUCAACUUGAUCCAUAAUAUUGAUAC
Molecule: unclassified non-coding RNA, 878 nt
Filed under: Megachile rotundata (alfalfa leafcutting bee)
Lineage: Eukaryota; Metazoa; Arthropoda; Insecta; Hymenoptera; Megachilidae
Description: transmembrane protein 170A, transcript variant X2
Source: RNAcentral